CAUCCCGAUGCUAUUCUAGAGAUAGAAAGUACUUCGGUACAUCGGUGACAGGUGGUGCAUGGUUGUCGUCAGCUCGUGUCGUGAGAUGUUGGGUUAAGUCCCGCAACGAGCGCAACCCCUAUUGUUAGUUGCCAUCAUUCAGUUGGGCACUCUAGCGAGACUGCCGGUAAUAAACCGGAGGAAGGUGGGGAUGACGUCAAAUCAUCAUGCCCCUUAUGACCUGGGCUACACACGUGCUACAAUGGUUGGUACAACGAGUUGCGAGUCGGUGACGGCGAGCUAAUCUCUUAAAGCCAAUCUCAGUUCGGAUUGUAGGCUGCAACUCGCCUACAUGAAGUCGGAAUCGCUAGUAAUCGCGGAUCAGCACGCCGCGGUGAAUACGUUCCCGGGCCUU
This 394-nucleotide ribosomal RNA is filed under the name uncultured Streptococcus sp. RNAcentral's name for it is "bacterial SSU rRNA". It matches the Rfam family "Bacterial small subunit ribosomal RNA", at positions 985 to 1382 of the family's 1533-position model. The record is from RNAcentral. Lineage: Bacteria; Bacillati; Bacillota; Bacilli; Lactobacillales; Streptococcaceae.